Molecule: long non-coding RNA, 411 nt
Organism: Magnolia sinica
Lineage: Eukaryota; Viridiplantae; Streptophyta; Magnoliopsida; Magnoliales; Magnoliaceae
Exons: 2
Source: RefSeq, a predicted model, not a curated record
GAGAAUGUCCUUUCAUCUGCUAUUGGAAUGCAGGUUGUAUAGGCACCUCCUCAUUGUAACUUUCUCUGUUUGAGGUCCCACCUCCUCAUUGUCCUUAUGGUUCAUGAAGACAUCUCCCAUGUAUAGCUUGAAUUGAUUCCCAUGAUUCAGGAAAUACUUACUCAAUGGAUUAUUCUCCACUUGGUGGGAACAACACCAUCUGAGUCACCACUUUUGGAGGAUUUUAGCUCUCGCCUUUCGUCAUUGCACAUUGGUAACUGCAUGUUAUGCUUCUUGUACAGCUGGAGCAUUUUUUUCUGAGUUAUCAGUUUCCUCAUUGCUCCAUAACUUAAAUCACCUAAUAGACAAUUUGAAAUUACUAGAGCCUGUUGGCUGAGACAAUUUCUAUGCAAGUACCUAUUAGCCUUGUUA